GGGGUGUUAGCUCAGCGGUAGAGCAAUUGACUGCAGAUCAAUAGGUCUUCGGUUCAAAUCCGGAACUCCCCU
RNAcentral lists this transfer RNA (72 nucleotides) under Anaeromyces robustus. It matches the Rfam family "tRNA". Rfam says of the family: Transfer RNA (tRNA) molecules are approximately 80 nucleotides in length. Lineage: Eukaryota; Fungi; Neocallimastigomycota; Neocallimastigomycetes; Neocallimastigales; Neocallimastigaceae. The record is from Rfam by way of RNAcentral.